AUUAUCAUGGAUCUUGUUAAAAUGCAGAUUCUGAUUCUAGAGAUCUGGGAUGGAGCCAGAGAUUCUGCAUUUUUAAUAAGUUCCCAGGUGAUGCUGC
RNAcentral lists this microRNA precursor (97 nucleotides) under Loxodonta africana (African savanna elephant). RNAcentral describes it as "mir-544 microRNA precursor family". It matches the Rfam family "mir-544 microRNA precursor family". The record is from Rfam by way of RNAcentral. Lineage: Eukaryota; Metazoa; Chordata; Mammalia; Proboscidea; Elephantidae.